Long non-coding RNA from Anguilla anguilla (European eel), 504 nucleotides. RefSeq lists it as uncharacterized. The record is from RefSeq and is a predicted model, not a curated record. NCBI's taxonomy places the organism in Eukaryota, Metazoa, Chordata, Actinopteri, Anguilliformes, Anguillidae. The transcript has 2 exons.
CAGCCAGGAGGUAGAACUAAUUGGUAAAAUCAACUGGCUGAGUUCAUGGGUGGAAGAAACACACAACAAAACUUUUCCUUUCUUACCCCUGGACUCGUCACUUCUGUUGUCAAGAUACUCAGUACAAGCACGAGCGGGGUCCUGGAGUCACAGGCUCAAGCGGGGGCCACAUAAAUCUGUAUUAUACAUUUCAUCCAACUAGCAAAAGCAAUAUGCAGUAUUGGGGGUUCGCAAAUGUGGUGCUGAUUAGUCACAAGUUCUGCUGGUUUUUGUUUUAUACUUAAAACAAGCAACUAAUUCAGUCCCAAUAAUUACUGUUUGAUCUUUUCACCACUGUUUGGUGUUGCAGACCCUCACAGACAACAACGGAGGCAGUUGAACCCCCAGUCUCAUUCUGAACAAGAAGAAAAUGAAAACUACUCAAUGAUUCAAAUGGAUAAAUGAAACAAAGCCCACGUUUAAAGUUGACAUUUCAAGUCUGUUCAGCGCAGCUCAAUUAGAGAU